UGGGGAAUAUUGCACAAUGGGGGAAACCCUGAUGCAGCGACGCCGCGUGAACGAAGAAGGUAUUCGUAUCGUAAAGUUCUGUCCUAUGGGAAGAUAAUGACAGUACCAUAGAAGAAAGCUCCGGCUAAAUACGUGCCAGCAGCCGCGGUAAUACGUAUGGAGCGAGCGUUGUCCGGAAUUAUUGGGAGUAAAGGGUACGCAGGCGGUUUAAUAAGUCGAAUGUUAAAGAUCGGGGCUCAACCCCGCAAAGCAUUGGAAACUGAUAAACUUGAGUAGUGGAGAGGAAAGUGGAAUUCCUAGUGUAGUGGUGAAAUACGUAGAUAUUAGGAGGAAUACCAGUAGCGAAGGCGACUUUCUGGACACAAACUGACGCUGAGGUACGAAAGCGUGGGGAGCAAACAGG
This 403-nucleotide ribosomal RNA is filed under the name bacterium. RNAcentral's name for it is "partial 16S ribosomal RNA". It matches the Rfam family "Bacterial small subunit ribosomal RNA", at positions 355 to 776 of the family's 1533-position model. The record is from RNAcentral.